RNAcentral lists this ribosomal RNA (253 nucleotides) under uncultured bacterium. Its description in RNAcentral is "partial 16S ribosomal RNA". It matches the Rfam family "Bacterial small subunit ribosomal RNA", at positions 524 to 776 of the family's 1533-position model. The record is from RNAcentral.
UACGGGGGGGGCAAGCGUUGUUCGGAAUUACUGGGCGUAAAGGGCUCGUAGGCGGCCAACUAAGUCAGACGUGAAAUCCCUCAGCUUAACUGGGGAACUGCGUCUGAUACUGGAUGGCUUGAGUUCGGGAGAGGGAUGCGGAAUUCCAGGUGUAGCGGUGAAAUGCGUAGAUAUCGGGAGGAACAUCAGUUGCGAAGGCGGCUCUCUGGACCAGUACUGACGCUGAGGCACGAAAGCGUGGGGAGCAAACAGG